RNAcentral lists this ribosomal RNA (108 nucleotides) under Pteropus alecto (black flying fox). Lineage: Eukaryota; Metazoa; Chordata; Mammalia; Chiroptera; Pteropodidae. The record is from RNAcentral.
GUCUACAGCCAUGCCACUCUGAACGAGCCUGAGCCCGUCUGAUUUUGGGGUGGGGCCUGGUUAGUACUUGGAUGGGAGACCACCUAGGAAGACAAGGUACUGUAGGCG